This is a long non-coding RNA of Sitophilus oryzae (rice weevil), 1429 nucleotides long. RefSeq lists it as uncharacterized. Lineage: Eukaryota; Metazoa; Arthropoda; Insecta; Coleoptera; Curculionidae. The record is from RefSeq and is a predicted model, not a curated record. The transcript is spliced from 2 exons.
UUUUAUUUAUGGAGUCUAAAAGGAGGAGGCGAAUCGAACGCAAAAAUUAUGGGCCCAGUUUUUGAGAUCUAAAUGAAGUUCGAAAAUCGCCGUUAGGGGCGCUUGUGAUGAUUGGGAUACUAGAAAUACACAGCUUCUUAUGGCAAGAAUAACUAUUUUGUUAUAAAUUAUAGAGCCAAGUUAAUAUUUGGGCAUAUUUUUACCAGAGUUAGCUUUUAGAAACGUGGUUUUUCUAAUUGAGCAAUGUGCGUGGCUAAAAUUGUGAAUACAAAACCUUAAAUUUGAGUUUGAAAAUGCAUACACGACCGAAGAAACAUAUAAGCUGCUAAAAUAAAUCUUCCCUAGAACUGUUGUACAAAAAAGAUAGAAGUUCCAGCAACAAAUUUAUCACCAGUUCAACCUUUGAUUUGAUGUAAACAGUAAUUGUUUCUUGAUGAGAAAUGCGAAUGAAAUAGUUUAUGGUGUGAUUGUGUUAGUGUUUUAUUAAUAGUUUUGUUGAUGCAGUUUAAAGGUUCAUAGUUUUUCAUUAAAACAUUUGAAAUUGACAUGUUUACAUGCAGUUUAGUGUGAUACCAUUUUAAUAAACAUUAAAAUCUUUCGAACUAGUAGUGGUUUUAUGGCGAUUGACAGAUUGAAUAACGAAAAUUAAGAGUAUUUUAUCAGGAAUAACUUAAUCAUAAAUGGAAACUGAAGACGAACGUUACCAUUGCACCCUUUGAUCGGUGUUAUCUAUUCCAUAACUUUUUAUAGCUGAAACUAGAGAGUAGGUAUAUUGAGCUGAAACGUUUCCUGUGUUCAAUAGCGUUUUUUCUAGCGUUGAAUUGUAAGUUUUAAUGUCAUUAGCAAAGUUUUGCAAAUUGUCACUGUUUCGUAGACAAUUAAAUUCAAGAUAUAUUAUAUUCAAUGUCACCUAAUAAUUGUAAAGGUUUUUCUAUUGAUAUUCACUUUAUUAAUAUAAGGUAGGUUUGUAAAUAAAAUAUUAAUGAAUAAAUAAUGUACUCAGUUUAUUUCAAAAGCACAAAAAUACAGAGUUGUGAAUAUGUAUAUACGCUGACUUAUUUCAUCAUAUAAAUAUUUAUUUAGCAAUAUUAAUACAUUACAACUUUUGUUUCUAUUAACUAAUUCCACUAAAUUUAAUAAAUAAAAUAUACAAUAUAUAAAUUUAAUAUACAAUUUAGCACUUAGAUAUUAAAUAUCUAUAUGUACUAUGCCAAAAAAUAAAACAGGAACAUCAUAUUAUAUCAAGAACACAAAAAAUUACAAUUUAAAAAAAAUGCAUUCUAAAAAAAUACCUAGCUACAAUAUACCUACAUAUUAAUUUAAAGAGCUUAUUCAUAUUCAUAAAAACUAUUCUAAAUGGUUUAUAUACACAAUCAAAAGUAUCAACCACAAUACAAUAAUUUUCAAAUUAUUUCUUAUUAUUCCUCAA